ACUAAAACUAGCCCAACUACACUUAAAUUUAAUAAAUUUACUAAACCUUAAACUAAACCAUUUACUACCCAGUAAUAGUAUAGGAGAUAGAAAUUCCACUUGGAGCUAUAGAUAAAGUACCGUAAGGGAAAGAUGAAAGAACAGUUAAUAGUAAAUAAAAGCAAAGCUUAACACUUGUACCUUUUGCAUAAUGACUUAACUAGACCAACUUGACAAAAAGAAUUUUAGUCAGUAACCCCGAAACCAGACGAGCUACUCACAAACAGUUAUAUUAGAACACACUCAUCUAUGUAGCAAAAUAGUGAGAAGAUUUGUGAUUAGAGGUGAAAAGCCUAUCGAGCCUGGUGAUAGCUGGUUGUCCGAGAAAGAAUUUUAGUUCAACUUUAAAUUUACUCAACGUAUUCAAAACUUAAUGUAAUUUUAAAAUUUAAUCUAAAGAGGGACAGCUCUUUAGAACAGGCUACAACCUUUCGUAGAGAGUAAANAAAACUUAACCCCAUAGUUGGCCCAAAAGCAGCCACCAAUUAAGAAAGCGUUCAAGCUCAACAGAUCCUAUUAUACUAAUACCAAACCUCUCAUGAUAACCUCCUACUAGCUAACCGGACUAAUCUAUUAUUAAAUAGAAGCACUACUGUUAAUAUAAGUAACAAGAAUUAUUAUUCUCCUAGCAUAAACCUAUAUCAGAUCGGAUGCCCACUGAUAAUUAACCAAAAGUGUNNAAAAAUUAAUCAUAGUCUAGAUAAUAUUUACCUAAACAACUGUUAAUCCAACACAGGUUUGCACUAAGGAAAGAUUAAAAAGAGCAAAAGGAACUCGGCAAAAUUAACCCCGCCUGUUUACCAAAAACAUCACCUCUAGCAUAACCAGUAUUAGAGGCACUGCCUGCCCAGUGACAUAUGUUCAACGGCCGCGGUAUCCUGACCGUGCAAAGGUAGCAUAAUCAUUUGUUCUCUAAUUAAGGACUUGAAUGAAAGGCCACACGAGGGUUAAACUGUCUCCUGCUCUCAAUCAGUGAAAUUGACCUUCCCGUGAAGAGGCGGGAAUAUAAUAACAAGACGAGAAGACCCUAUGGAGCUUAAAUUCAUUAACCCAAAUAAAUCUUAUAANNNNNNNNNNNNNNNNNNNNNNNNNNNNNNNUUAUGGGUUAUAGAUUUCGGUUGGGGUGACCUCGGAGUAUAAUUCAACCUCCGAAUAAUUUUAGCCUAGACUUUACCAGUCAAAACAACUCAUAUAGUUAAUUGACCCAAACUAGUUUGAUCAAUGGAACAAGUUACCCUAGGGAUAACAGCGCAAUCCUAUUAUAGAGUCCAUAUCGACAAUAGGGUUUACGACCUCGAUGUUGGAUCAGGACAUCCCAAUGGUGUAACCGCUAUUAAAGGUCCGUUUGUUCAACGGUUAAAGUCCUACGUGAUCUGAGUUCAGACCGGAGUAAUCCAGGUCGGUUUCUAUCUGUUUAACAUUUCUCCCAGUACGAAAGGACAAGAGAAAUAGAGCCAACUCCACAGAGCGCUCUUAAUUUAAUAGAUGCUAUAAACUUAAUCUGAUAUAUAAUUUCAUACCCCACCCUAGACCAGGG
RNAcentral lists this ribosomal RNA (1576 nucleotides) under Hapalemur griseus griseus. RNAcentral's name for it is "16S ribosomal RNA". It matches the Rfam family "Bacterial large subunit ribosomal RNA". Lineage: Eukaryota; Metazoa; Chordata; Mammalia; Primates; Lemuridae. The record is from RNAcentral.